AUCUUUUGAAAGAGUGGGCAGGAAUUUUUUCGGAACGUCGGGAUCGAUCGUUUUAAGCUAAUGAUUCUGUGGGUGAUCCUUUCGGGGUCCGGGAAUUCUUUUUAUUACGAGUUUCGAGAUGUCGGGAUUUAAAUUUCUUUCAAUUCUGGACUUUGGGAUCUUAUGUUUUAAAGCCCAGGAUUUCGGUAUCAGAACCCCACCAACCCUCUCUUGAAAGAGUUCUCCCCCAAUUAUAUUCGGCAAGUCAAUAAGCAAAUGGAAAUAAAUACGGAACACAGAAUAUAUAUUUAAAUUGGUGAUUCAGAAAAAAUAAAAUUUAUUUCAAAAUUGUUGAUUGGAGUCUAUUUAAAUAUCAACAUUGUGUGCUCAGUAUUUAAUUACUGAUUGUGAGCAUGCUCCUUGCCACACACUAUUAUUCUUCCUGCAACAGUUAUCGUAUUUAACAUCGAGUUUUGAGGGGGGAUAGG
RNAcentral lists this long non-coding RNA (467 nucleotides) under Mytilus galloprovincialis (Mediterranean mussel). Lineage: Eukaryota; Metazoa; Mollusca; Bivalvia; Mytilida; Mytilidae. The record is from RNAcentral.